Molecule: ribosomal RNA, 503 nt
Filed under: uncultured bacterium
Lineage: Bacteria
Description: bacterial SSU rRNA
Rfam family: Bacterial small subunit ribosomal RNA
Source: RNAcentral
AAUGAACGCUGGCGGCGUGCUUAACACAUGCAAGUUGAACGAGAAAGGCUGAUUUCGGUUGGCCGAGUAAAGUGGCGCACGGGUGAGUAACGCGUAGGCAACCUACCCUUGUAUUGGGGAUAACCCUGCGAAAGUGGGGCUAAUACCGGAUAAGACCCGAUUCUGGAGGGAAUUGGGUGAAAGUCGGCCGCUCGGAGAAGCUGACGUACGAGGAUGGGCCUGCGUCCUAUCAGCUAGUUGGUGGGGUAGAGGCCUACCAAGGCGACGACGGGUAGCUGGUCUGAGAGGAUGAUCAGCCACACUGGCACUGGAACACGGGCCAGACUCCUACGGGAGGCAGCAGUGAGGAAUUUUGCGCAAUGGCCGCAAGGCUGACGCAGCAACGCCGCGUGGGUGAUGAAGGCCUUCGGGUCGUAAAGCCCUGUCAGGUGGGAAGAAAGGUUUCAAGGAGAAACACUUGGGAUUUGACGGUACCACCAGAGGAAGCACCGGCUAACUCCGUG